UCCGGUGAUUGUAGCGGAGGAGAAAUACCUGUUCCCAUUCCGAACACAGUAGUUAAGCCCUCCAGCGCCGAUGAUACUGCAUGGGAAUCUGUGUGGGAAAGUAGGUCAUCGCCGGAU
Molecule: ribosomal RNA, 117 nt
Filed under: Acidobacteriota bacterium
Lineage: Bacteria; Pseudomonadati; Acidobacteriota
Source: RNAcentral